RNAcentral lists this long non-coding RNA (2579 nucleotides) under Equus caballus (horse). RNAcentral describes it as "lncRNA (ENSECAG00000043980.1)". The record is from RNAcentral. Lineage: Eukaryota; Metazoa; Chordata; Mammalia; Perissodactyla; Equidae.
GAAGUCAUUGCAGAUGUAUUUAGCUGGGAUGAGGUCACACUGGAGUAGGUGGGUCUCUAAUUCAGGAUGACUGGGGUUCUUGUAAGAUGGCCAUGUGAAGACACAGAUGCACAGAAGGAGAAGAACAUGUGAAGAUGGAGGCAGAGACGGGGUGAUGCUUGUACAAGCCCAGGAACGCCAAAGCUCGCCGGCAGACCACCAGAAGCUGGGAGAGACGCCUGGACCAGAUUCUUCCUCCCAGCGUCAGAAGGAACCAACCCUGCUGACACCUUGAUCUCAGACUUCUAGCCCCAGAACUGCAAGACAAUAAGUUUCUGAUAUUUCAGCCACCACAUCUGUGGAAUCUCCGCAGCCCUCCCGUGUGCCUCUUUAGUGUGUCUGAGCUGGAGUGAUGCAGCGGUCCAGUAGCAGUUCUACUGUAAGAAACGCACCCCCCUGGCCGCACACUCAGACUUGAUGUAACCAACGGAACAGAGUUUCAGCAGCAGGAGAAGCCAGUGGCGGCAGCAGCCCCCAGAGACGGGUUCUGGAGCAGUCAGCUCCGAUUCCCUGGUGAGUGUCUCCUUCCUGGGGCGUGGUGCUAGUUCCAGCUCAUGUUAGCUAUGAGUCUUUGAGCUGCAAAUGAUGAAAAACUCGCCUAUCACUGACUUAGACAAUCAGGAUGAUUUAUGAAUUUCAACUUUCAGGUUGAAUUGAAAGAAACUGCCAUUCUUGUAGGUCAACACUCGUCAAGGUAUCAACAGUUUCAUAUGCUUCAAACCUCAUAAAAACCCCUCAGUAGUCUGGCUUCAAGAGAGGCAUGAUCCAGGAGCGUGGCCAGUUUCUCCAAGGACUCAGAUUUUCCCAGCCCUUCCAAUAUGCUUUUCAUGGGGACAGGCUCAUCACCAGAUCUCAGGAGUCCCUACCCUAGCAUGACCUAAGAUACCUCAUGAUGUCAAAAUGGCUGCAGCAGUUCCAGACAUACAUCUUGACACCAUAUCAUCCAGGGGAAGAGAAAUGGUCUCUUCUGACAGCACACGCAGGGGAAGGAAGGAGUUCCCCUUUCCCAGGAACACUGGCAAACAGCUCUCUUGCCUCCUUGGUUCUGAAAAAGUGGAAUAUUUUCCUACUAUUGCCAGGAGAUGGGAAUUUUUUUUUUUAGCUCAAGCUAAUCAGGACUCGACCUGGAGCUAGGAGUGAGGUCAAUCCCACCCAUAUCACAUAGUUGAGAAUAAGGGAGGCUAGUCUCCUCAAAGUCAAAUCUGGGGACUGUUACCAGAGGAAAAUAAAUAUUUAAUGGCAAAAGAGAGAUGUUCCCUGCAGGCUGCUGGCACUGAGGUGAGCAUGACCAGAACAAGCCUUUAGACGGAGUAAGCCCCCUGGGGGUUAGCAGCCACCUCAGGGCAGGAAGGUUUUGGGGCCAAGAACCUUACUUCCUGCUCAUAGGGGCUUGUGGGCUUCAAGCUGGUCUUUGCUUCCACACUGGAUAGUGGCAUUUGUACCCAGCUGGGGACACCAAACACAGGCCACGUGCAGCGGUCUCGGAUCCAGCUGGCCUCUCGGCACUCCCCACACCCCUGCUUGUGCCUCCAGGCAGCUCUCUGUGCCCUUCUCCACAGCAGUUGUUCCAAAUCUCUGUUCUCUCCACCAUCUCACUCUCAUUCUCAGCUGUGGCUUCAGGAAAACAGAAAACAAGAGGCGGGAAUUGCCAUUUCCCCUUUCCCUCCUCUUCCCUCACUCUGGUUCCCACCUCCUUGGCCCUUUUAGGAUGGAGAGCUCUCCUGCAGAGCUCUCCACCCCGGGACCUGUGGCCUCCAGUCAGCCCCUUCCCUCCACGUCCUCCACCUCUGCCUCGACACAGCGCUUCAGCAUUUAAAGAUGAUUCCAUCUCUCGCACCUUUAAAAUUCAAAUAAGGCAGAAACCCUCUGCCCCCUGCCCAUCCCCUCCAGCUGCUACCCUACCUCCUUCCUCCCAUCAGAGCCAAGGUUCCAAGUCUCUCCCUUGCGUCCACUGUGACCGUCCCUGCCCCUUCCUCUCUGUGGGAGCUGCUCCCCAUAAGGCCCACCAUGACUCUCUUGUCGCUGUUCUGGGGAAAAUUUUCAGUCGCAGUCUUAGCACACUGUUUCAGAGCACAGACUUCAGAGCCAGCCCAACCGGAGUUGGGUCCGGGCUCUGUCACUUGUUGGUGACCUGACGACCUCAGGCACUCACGUGGCUUCAGCAACCAUCCACAGCUGAUGGAUCAGCCCGUGUCUCCAGCCCAGACUGCAGAGCAUCGCCACCUCCCAGAUACCCAAGCCAGCCUCUGGGACUUCUCCCACUUGCUCAAAUGUCUUGACCAUUGUGUACCCCCAGUACUUUCCACAAAAACUGGCAUAUGGUAACUUCUCAAUAUGCCGAACAGAUGGAUGGAUGAACGAAUGGAUGGAUGGUCUCUGGUUAAGAGAUUCAGAAUGAGAGUAUAGAGUCUCAAGAUUACUUGAAAUCAUAACAAUAGUUGAUUUCCUGGAAGUAGUGUGAAGAGAGAAGCGCAGAUGGCACACGACAGAGCCUCAGGGAAGAACCCCCUUCAGGGGGUGGGAGGGCUAUUCCUCAGUAG